Molecule: ribosomal RNA, 588 nt
Filed under: Triticum aestivum (bread wheat)
Lineage: Eukaryota; Viridiplantae; Streptophyta; Magnoliopsida; Poales; Poaceae
Description: partial small subunit ribosomal RNA
Source: RNAcentral
AUGUCGUGGUGGAAGUCCAAGUCGCACUUCAGCGCCGACAGCCAGGACUCGAGCUCCGACGGCGCGUACCGCGGAGGUAAGGAACGCUCGCCGUCACGUCGCAAGAAGUCCGACGAAGACGAGGAGGAGUACCGCCCCUACGCAGGCUACGGCGCCAACACCAACCGCGGCGGGGCCAACGAAGGCGGGGGCGGCGGCUACAACAACGGCUACGGCGGCGGUGGCUCGUACAGCAACGGCAACAGCGGUAUCACGCCCUACAACGGCGGCGGUGGCUACAACAGCAACUCUUCCUACGGCAACGGCGGCGGUGGCUACAACAACAACUCUUCCUACGGCAACGGCAACGGCGGCGACGGGUACAACAACGCUCCCAGCUGGGCAUCCCAGGACACCGGCGGCCGGACGCCGAUGUACAUAAACACCAGAGAGGUCCACGUCUAUGGGGCGCCGCAGAACGACGACGACUACAACGGCGACCAGAAGAGGCGUGGCGGCGGCGGCGGGGGCAGCGGGUUCUUCGGUCCGGCCUUCCAUGCCGUCGGCCAUUUCGUCGAUCGCAGGUUCGGCCUCGACGAUAGGAACUGA